GAUGAACGCUGGCGGCGUGCCUAAUACAUGCAAGUCGAGCGAACAGACGAGGAGCUUGCUCCUCUGACGUUAGCGGCGGACGGGUGAGUAACACGUGGAUAACCUACCUAUAAGACUGGGAUAACUUCGGGAAACCGGAGCUAAUACCGGAUAAUAUAUUGAACCGCAUGGUUCAAUAGUUAAAGACGGUUUUGCUGUCACUAAUAGAUUGAUCCGCGCCGCAUUAGCUAGUUGGUAAGGUAACGGCUUACCAAGGCAACGAUGCGUAGACGACCUGAGAGGGUGGUCGGCCACACUGGAAGUGAGACACGGCCCAGACUCCUACGGGAGGCAGCAGUAGGGAAUCUUCCGCAAUGGGCGAAAGCGUGACGGAGCAACGCCGCGGGAGUGAUGAAGGUCUUCGGAUCGUAAAACUCUGUUAGUAGGGAAGAACAAAUGUGUAAGUAACUAUGCACGUCUUGACGGUACCUAAUCAGAAAGCCACGGCUAACUACGUG
This 497-nucleotide ribosomal RNA is filed under the name uncultured bacterium. Its description in RNAcentral is "partial 16S ribosomal RNA". It matches the Rfam family "Bacterial small subunit ribosomal RNA", at positions 28 to 507 of the family's 1533-position model. The record is from RNAcentral.